Molecule: long non-coding RNA, 2769 nt
Organism: Gasterosteus aculeatus aculeatus (three-spined stickleback)
Lineage: Eukaryota; Metazoa; Chordata; Actinopteri; Perciformes; Gasterosteidae
Source: Ensembl
GUACCAGUUUUUACCAGCGAUAUUGUUCUUGUGAUUAAAUAUGACCAUGGGUGUGUAUUUCAAGCUUGUGUGUAGUGCAUUCUAACGAACAGUGUAAAAACCUGGGAAUUAAUCAAACGUAUGGAUUAUGAUUAGUGUGUACAUUAAAUAUUAACUGACAACACUAUAUUGGAACUUACAGCAAUUUUCUCCCAUGCAGUUUCUCUGUCUUUUGCUGCAGUAGCGGUGUUGCUUUUUUUGUAAUACUCUCCAUACACUUGCAUUAAUACAUCCAGCUCAUGCCGACCGAUUGUUUGUGGUGGUUGCCAUGGUGAAUUGUGGUAUCAUGGCUCCAUUCAUGCUGCCUUCAUACUGUGGUGGUGCACGCGCUCAACUCUGAGACAACCUACUCAGAGUUAAACUCCAAACAGCUGUUCUGAAACCGAAAUCCGAGAGCUCCUCCAACCAUUUAGGAGCUAGGAUAACAAAGAGUUGUAAUCUUGUCGAGUGUUUGGCUCUCAGAGGGAGGAACAAUUUAGCAAAUGCCGAGCGGAGUGUGCGGGUUGGAUUGUAGGGUUUGAUUUCCUAGAUAUAGACUGGACACGAUCCAUUCACAGCACGAUACGUGAGUAUCAAUGUUUUGAAUUGGAUGCGUGCAGUCAGGAGAGAGUUGCAGUAGUCCAGGCGGAAGAUGACAAGAGCCUGAAUCAGCACCUGCUCCGCCUUCUGAGUGAGAAGGGGACGUAUUCUCCUGAUGUUGUAGAGCGUGUAUCUACAGGAUCGUGUUCUCCCUGUAAUGUUCGGAGUCAGGGAGAGUUGGCCGUCAAGUGUCAUGCCGAGGUUCUCAGCAGUCAAAGUCGCGUUACGCAGGACCUGACUGAAGUCAACAGUCAGGUCCUGGGUAGGAGUGUCAUCGGCAUAGCUGUGGUAGGAGACGCUAUGUGAGCGAAUGACAGCCGAGAGAGUUGGUGUAGAACGAGAAGAGGAGGGGACCGAGGACGGAACCCUGAGGAACUCAGUAGUAGUAAGAGGACAUGGUUCCGACACAGAUCCCCUCCAAGUUACCCGUUAGGAAUGCAGAGUGCGUUUAUUGGUGCGGUAACCUGGGAGGUAGAAGACAGGGAUUAAACUCUCCAAUGCCGAACAUCCUGCUCCCAGUGUUUGUCCGGUUCACCGUCUGUUUGUUCCUGCCAACCUCUGUAUGCAGGUUCUCCAGUAGGGUCACGCGUCUCGCCUGGCUUGCCAUCCCGGGAUCCGACGCACUCUAGCAAUGCUCAGACAACGCUUCUGGUGGCCUUCCAUGGAGGAGGACGCAAAGGAGUUUGUCGGUGCUUGCCUGGUCUGCUCCCAGCAUAAGAGCACACGUCAACCUCCGUCCGGACUUCUUCAUCCUCUACCUAUUCCUGGACGCCCUUGGUCCCACAUCGCCAUGGAUUUUGUAACUGGCCUGCCUCCCUCUGACGGUCAUCACAUCAGUCAUCCUCACGACCAUUGAUCGAUUUUCAAAGUCUGCUAUGUUAUUACCACUACCAAAGCUACCCACUGCCCAGGAGACCGCUUAAGUUUUGUUGCAAAACGUUUUCCGGCUGCAUGGGUUACCCAUUGACGUGGUCUCUGACCGGAGACCACAAUUCACUUCUCGUUUUGGUCAGAGUUUUGUAGAUUGCUCUUCAGGUCAGGUUGUUUGGUGCGAGUGGCGGAGUUUUUGAAUCGGUUUAGAGCUUUUUUUGAGAAUAAUCUGGUGUGUUGACCGAGGGAGUUAUACAAACUGGCUUUUGAGUGAUCAGGGUUUUUUUUGUCGAGGUGCCCGCGGAGGAAUGGCGUCCUCCGAGACGCCACCUUCGUCUCUCCAGCAGGGAGUAAGGAUUGUCCCGCCGGAUAACGCGGCCACUGUGGAGGAGGUUGUUGCUGGCUGACGAGGAGCAGGUAGGACACGAGAACCUGUCCUUCGCUUCCAGGAUGAACAGAGCUGUGGUUGUGUUCCUCAAAGACGAACCUCGUGUCCACCAGCUAAUUGAGAGCGGCGUGUUCAUCAGGGACGCGCUCAUGCAGGUGUCCCCGCUGACAGCACCAUCUACGCGGAUCAUCGUGUCCGGUGUUCCACCGUUUAUCCCAAAUGAAGCGUUAACCAACGAGCUGCGGAGGUUUGGGAAGUUCGCCGGUGGAAUAAAAGCGGUGAGUCUGGGAUGCAAAGAUCCCAAACUGAAACGCGUCCAGUCUCUGAUGCGGCAGGUCUCCAUGUUCCUAGACUCACCUGCUCAGAGCCUGGACAUCUUUUUCAGGGUGAAGCACGGCGACAGUGCAUAUAUGGUGUACGCCAGCUCCGGGCAGCUCAGGUGUUUUGAGUGUGGAGAAGUGGGGCACAAAAGGUUUUCUUGUCCGCGAAGGAAGCAGGCGGCCGCUGCUGAUGCCGGCGAGGGCGUGACAAACGCGUCCAACUGAGCGGCGGACGAACCUGCGGCAAAAGAACCUGUGGCGGCGGACGAAGCGGCGGCGGACGAGCCAGCAGUGGCUGAAGGGGCGGCGGCAGACCGCGAAUUUGACGGAGCAGUGGCUGUUGCCACUGACGCACAACUUCAGGACGCGACGCAGAAGAACCAACCAAAUGAGCAAAAGGUUUCUGUUGCUGCAAAGAACACCUGCUCUCAGUUUGAAGAAAACAUGGAGCAAGAGGCUUCCACGAGCACACUGUGGCUACAAUUGAAGGGCAGGGUGAAGAUGGCGCCUCUGCAGUGGCUGCCUGUCACCGUAGCGCUCGUGUGUUAACUUUGUUUUGGGACUUAGCUCUUU